GACGAAAACCUUACCCACCUUUGACAUGUACGGAAUCCUUUAGAGAUAGAGGAGUGCUCGAAAGAGAGCCGUAACACAGGUGCUGCAUGGCUGUCGUCAGCUCGUGUCGUGAGAUGUUGGGUUAAGUCCCGCAACGAGCGCAACCCUUGCCAUUAGUUGCUACGAAAGGGCACUCUAAUGGGACUGCCGGUGACAAACCGGAGGAAGGUGGGGAUGACGUCAAGUCCUCAUGGCCCUUAUAGGUGGGGCUACACACGUCAUACAAUGGCUGGUACAGAGGGUUGCCAACCCGCGAGGGGGAGCUAAUCCCAUAAAGCCAGUCGUAGUCCGGAUCGCAGUCUGCAACUCGACUGCGUGAAGUCGGAAUCGCUAGUAAUCGCGGAUCAGAAUGUCGCGGUGAAUACGUUCCCGGGUCUUGUACACACCGCCCGUCACACCAUGGGAGCGGGUUCUGCCAGAAGUAGGUAGCCUAACCGUAAGGAGGGCGCUUACCACGGCAGGGUUCGUGACUGGGGUGAAGUCGUAACAAGGUAAGCGUAGAUGA
This 544-nucleotide ribosomal RNA is filed under the name uncultured bacterium. Its description in RNAcentral is "bacterial SSU rRNA". It matches the Rfam family "Bacterial small subunit ribosomal RNA", at positions 961 to 1509 of the family's 1533-position model. The record is from RNAcentral.